RNAcentral lists this long non-coding RNA (365 nucleotides) under Carica papaya (papaya). RNAcentral describes it as "long non-coding RNA (CPAP_LNC004177)". The record is from RNAcentral. Lineage: Eukaryota; Viridiplantae; Streptophyta; Magnoliopsida; Brassicales; Caricaceae.
CCAAAUAAACGGUCAAGAUUAGGAAAAGAUAUGUAUUUAAACCCCUCUUCAAUUGUCCUAAAACCCUAGCUGACGUAGGGACACUGGAGAAUAAAGAAAGGCCACUGGAGGGGAACUCAGCCAUCGGAGGAAAGCCGAUGCCACCGAGUUAGAACAUUAAACUACUUUGGUAAGCCCAAAAUUCCUUCUCGUUCUUCCUGUUUCUCUGCCCUUAGCCGCCUAAAAUGUUUUCAAUGCAAGGUGACCGAGACAAUCCACAAACCAUGAGGUAGGGACGGCAGAGCUCGGCUGAGCCAUCAUACAGGAGGACCAAAAAUGUUGGUAAGACCCUAUUUUUUCUCUCCUUUCUCCGAAAAACACUUUCU